Capra hircus (goat) is the source of this 304-nucleotide ribozyme. It matches the Rfam family "RNase MRP". Rfam says of the family: RNase MRP is an enzymatically active ribonucleoprotein with two distinct roles in eukaryotes. The record is from Ensembl. NCBI's taxonomy places the organism in Eukaryota, Metazoa, Chordata, Mammalia, Artiodactyla, Bovidae.
GUUCGUGCCGAAGGCCUGUGUCCUAGGCUACACACGGAGGACUAGCUCCUUGUUUGCGCCGAGGGGAAAGUCCCCAGACCUCGGGCAAAGAGUGCCACCUGAGCAUGCAUGUAGACUUUCCCUGCUCCUCAUGGUUAAGCCCGCCAAGAAGCUAUCCUGCCCCAUGCUGGGGGCAGCCAAGUAGCCUGUGGUGAGGUAUCAUCCAUCAUCAGGCUGUGUGCCUCAGCACACACCGCUCUCACUCCAUCAUCAGGCUGUGUGCCUCAGCACACACCGAUCUCACAAGGCUCGUUCUCAGCACACA